UGGGGAAUAUUGCACAAUGGGGGAAACCCUGAUGCAGCGACGCCGCGUGAGCGAUGAAGUAUUUCGGUAUGUAAAGCUCUAUCAGCAGGGAAGAUAAUGACGGUACCCACAGAAGAAGCCCCGGCUAACUUCGUGCCAGCAGCCGCGGUAAUACGAAGGGGGCUAGCGUUGUUCGGAAUUACUGGGCGUAAAGCGCACGUAGGCGGAUCGUUAAGUCGGGGGUGAAAUCCUGGGGCUCAACCUCAGAACUGCCUUCGAUACUGGCGAUCUCGAGUCCGGGAGAGGUGAGUGGAAUUCCGAGUGUAGAGGUGAAAUUCGUAGAUAUUCGGAGGAACACCAGUGGCGAAGGCGGCUCACUGGCCCGGUACUGACGCUGAGGUGCGAAAGCGUGGGGAGCAAACA
This 402-nucleotide ribosomal RNA is filed under the name uncultured prokaryote. RNAcentral describes it as "bacterial SSU rRNA". It matches the Rfam family "Bacterial small subunit ribosomal RNA", at positions 355 to 774 of the family's 1533-position model. The record is from RNAcentral.